UGGGGAAUAUUGCGCAAUGGGGGGAACCCUGACGCAGCCAUGCCGCGUGAAUGAAGAAGGCCUUAGGGUUGUAAAGUUCUUUCGGUAUUGAGGAAGGUUGAUGUGUUAAUAGCACAUCAAAUUGACGUUAAAUACAGAAGAAGCACCGGCUAACUCCGUGCCAGCAGCCGCGGUAAUACGGAGGGUGCGAGCGUUAAUCGGAAUAACUGGGCGUAAAGGGCACGCAGGCGGUUAUUUAAGUGAGGUGUGAAAGCCCUGGGCUUAACCUGGGAAUUGCAUUUCAGACUGGGUAACUAGAGUACUUUAGGGAGGGGUAGAAUUCCACGUGUAGCGGUGAAAUGCGUAGAGAUGUGGAGGAAUACCGAAGGCGAAGGCAGCCCCUUGGGAAUGUACUGACGCUCAUGUGCGAAAGCGUGGGGAGCAAACAGGAUUAGAUACCCUGGUAGUCCACGCUGUAAACGCUNNCGAUUUGGGGGUUGGGGUUUAACUCUGGCGCCCGUAGCUNACGUGAUAAAUCGACCGCCUGGGGAGUACGGCCGCAAGGUUA
This 547-nucleotide ribosomal RNA is filed under the name uncultured bacterium. RNAcentral describes it as "bacterial SSU rRNA". It matches the Rfam family "Bacterial small subunit ribosomal RNA", at positions 355 to 896 of the family's 1533-position model. The record is from RNAcentral.